AUCCCUCAGUGAAUGCUAUCCAAAAAAAAUUGUUUAACAAUGUCCAAAAAUUACAAAACCAAAUUAGCAAAAUAAUGUUCAUAAAUCACUGGGGUGCCUCCUAACAAGCGCUCUUUUAAUGUCACUAGCUUGGCCCAAUAAAGCUCACAUUCCAUCCUUCACGUUGUUGUCUUCUUCAUCUUCAUCACACCAACUCAUCAACUGCUUCCGGUCCACCUUCUUGACUCUCCUAGAAUAGUGAGCUUCAAUCUCUAUCACUCCAUUCUCUUGAAAGCCUUUCACCACCCACAACUUCUUCUUCUAUCUUAAGGUGUACCUAGCUUGAAUGAUGCAUCCUUCAAGUCAAAGUGGAUUGUCCCUCCUUUGUCAACUUCCUCCUCUUCCUUUACCUGCAUGAAAACACAAUUAUUACCUUUGUUGACCACUUUCGCAAAUUUAGGCCAAACAACCGCUGCAUCCUUCUUUGAAGCUUUAUACUUAGCCUUCUUUUUUACUCGCAUCAGCUUCUCUUUGGAGACAUUAUAAAUCACCUUUUCUUCUUGGUCUUUAAGCAUAAUCACCCCAUCAUAAACACUUAUGACCACAAAAUCAACCAGGAAUUUAAGGCUUCAAAUGUGAAUCACCACGCCCUCCACCACACCAUAAGGUUUCUUUGAUGAUCCAUCCGCCACAACCAAGGAAAUAUUUGUUGGCUUCAAUGUCAGACCACCAAUCUUCUUCAGCAUAGAUAAGGGCAUCAAAUUAAUACUUGACCUUGAAUCAAGUAAAACUCUCCCUAUCUUCACACUCCCAAUGGCACAAGGAAUUGUAAGGCCUCCUAGAUCCUUCAUUUUUGGAGGGUGUCUCCUCUUCAAAGGGCCACUACAAAAUUCCUAUUCCUCAAUAGCUUUCUCUUCAAGAUCUAUCUUUUCUCCAAGAUAUUGCUUUAUACGCCUAGCAUAGACAGGAAUUUGUUGAAGUGCUUCAGUCAGUGGCAUAGUAACCUCCAUUUGAUUGAAGAUUUCUCUAAAGUGCUCACACUUACUCUCUUUUCUCUCUUCUCCUCUUGAAUAAGGAAGAUCACUCUCAUCUUUUUCAAUUUUCUCUUCUUUUUCUAUUUUUUUCUUCCUUCUUCUCUUUUUCUUCUCUAAUCUCACCCUCACAUAUUUCUUCUUUUUCCUCUUUUUUUUCUAACUCAACAAUUUCUUUGUCCACUCUCUCCUCAACCAUGCUCACAGCAACCCUAUAAUCCUCUCUAGGGUUAACUUCAGUAUUAGCCCUAAAUUGAUUUUUCUCUGUGACCUUCACCCAUUUGGAUAAAUGGCCAAUUUGCAUCUCCAAAUUCCUGAAGUUGGCGUCAUAUCUCUUGCAAUCGGACUCCUGC
RNAcentral lists this long non-coding RNA (1363 nucleotides) under Vigna radiata. RNAcentral's name for it is "long non-coding RNA (VRAD_LNC016053)". Lineage: Eukaryota; Viridiplantae; Streptophyta; Magnoliopsida; Fabales; Fabaceae. The record is from RNAcentral.